RNAcentral lists this ribosomal RNA (789 nucleotides) under Cytobacillus kochii. RNAcentral's name for it is "bacterial SSU rRNA". It matches the Rfam family "Bacterial small subunit ribosomal RNA", at positions 31 to 807 of the family's 1533-position model. The record is from RNAcentral. Lineage: Bacteria; Bacillati; Bacillota; Bacilli; Caryophanales; Bacillaceae.
UGGGGCCGGCGGCGUGCUAUACAUGCAAGUCGAGCGAAUCUGAGGGAGCUUGCUCCCAAAGAUUAGCGGCGGACGGGUGAGUAACACGUGGGCAACCUGCCUGUAAGACUGGGAUAACUCCGGGAAACCGGGGCUAAUACCGGAUAAUAUCUAUUUAUACAUAUAAUUAGAUUGAAAGAUGGUUCUGCUAUCACUUACAGAUGGGCCCGCGGCGCAUUAGCUAGUUGGUGAGGUAACGGCUCACCAAGGCGACGAUGCGUAGCCGACCUGAGAGGGUGAUCGGCCACACUGGGACUGAGACACGGCCCAGACUCCUACGGGAGGCAGCAGUAGGGAAUCUUCCGCAAUGGACGAAAGUCUGACGGAGCAACGCCGCGUGAGUGAUGAAGGUUUUCGGAUCGUAAAACUCUGUUGUUAGGGAAGAACAAGUAUCGGAGUAACUGCCGGUACCUUGACGGUACCUAACCAGAAAGCCACGGCUAACUACGUGCCAGCAGCCGCGGUAAUACGUAGGUGGCAAGCGUUGUCCGGAAUUAUUGGGCGUAAAGCGCGCGCAGGCGGUUCCUUAAGUCUGAUGUGAAAGCCCACGGCUCAACCGUGGAGGGUCAUUGGAAACUGGGGAACUUGAAUGCACAAGAGGAAAGUGGAAUUCCAAGUGGAGCGGUGAAAUGGGUAGAGAUUUGGAGGAACACCAGUGGCGAAGGGACUUUCUGGGCUGUAACUGACACUCAAACGCGGGAUCGUGCGGAGGAUACAGGAGUACAUACCCUGGGGGUCCACACGUUAGAC